CCCGCCCUCAUCCUGCCUCACAGUCGAGCUCCGCCCGCUUCCGCCUGAUUCCGGGCCCGGCCUUCUCCAGGCCGCCGGCUGGGGCCCUCCCAGGGCUGCUGGCCGAGAAUCUUAGGUAGUGGCGGCUUCGCCCUCAGCUAGGGCGAGCGAGCCCGGCAGAGGGGCAGGGCAGCCUGGGACCCUUCUAAUCUGCUCUGCCUCUUCCUGCUGUUGGGGACCUGCGGAAGCUGCCUUACCAUUUCACCUGAGGAACGUGGAGGUGCAGCUGAGCCCUGCAAUCUGAGCCACCACUGACUUGCAUAACGGCAGCCCUCCCUGCCUUCUCCCUGAACCAGGUUGAAUGGAGCAGAGCCUCAAGCUGGACAUGCUGCUGCCCCAUCCAGUGUGCACCCCUCCUGCCCUGGCUGCCCUCUUCCAGCAUCCACAGGAGUCCUGCAUGUGCAGAAACAGCGAGAAGACAGCCGUCUGUGAACCAGGAAGUGGGCCCUCACCAGACGCUGAAUCUGCUUGUGCCUUGAUCUUGGACUUCCCUGACUCCUGAAUUGUAAGAAUUAAAUUUCUGUUUAUAAGCCUCGCAGUCUACGGUAGCCCGAAUGCGCUGAGACCACCACCUCCCCACGCCACUGGGUCUCCCUGUCCUGGGCCACCUCUUCCCCACAUCCUAGGUCCUGGGCUUUUCCUAACAGUGAAUUGCAUACUUUUAGCAUCUUCUGCAGUCUGGAUAGACUGAGAAUUUCCCAAAUCAUCAAAUUACUACAAAAAAUUACCAUAAACCUUUUGGGUUAAAACAACACAUUCCAAAGACCAGAAGUCCAAAAUCAGAAGUUCACUGUGGAAAUCAAAUCUCCGGGGGCACCAGGGGACUGUUCCUUACCCCUUCCAGAUCCUGGUGGCUGCCGGCACUCAUGAGCUUGUGGCCCCUUCACUCUAAUGCCUGCCUGUCUUCACCUGGCCCUCUCCUCUGUGUGUGGAGUCUCUCUCUGCCUCCCUCUUAUAAGCACCCUCGUGAUGACAUUUAGGGCCCACUCGGAUAAUCUGGGAUGAUCUCAUGUCAAAACCCCAAUUUAUUUAAAAGGCAAAAAAGGAAGGAAAGAUGGAAAGGAGAAGGAAAAAGCCAAUCGUCAGGUUAGA
Molecule: non-coding RNA, 1131 nt
Organism: Vicugna pacos (alpaca)
Lineage: Eukaryota; Metazoa; Chordata; Mammalia; Artiodactyla; Camelidae
Source: RefSeq, a predicted model, not a curated record